GUACCGUGAGGGAAAGGUGAAAAGAACCCUGAAUAAGGGAGUGAAAUAGACCCUGAAACCAUACGCUUACAAGCGGUCGGAGCCCUUUAGGGUGACGGCGUGCCUUUUGCAUAAUGAGCCUACGAGUUACCGUUGCUAGCAAGGUUAAAUGUUUAAGACAUGGAGCCGUAGCGAAAGCGAGUCUGAAUAGGGCGCUAUAGUUAGUAGUGGUAGACGCGAAACCGUGUGAUCUACCCAUGGGCAGGUUGAAGCUGUGGUAACACACAGUGGAGGACCGAACCGGUUGACGUUGAAAAGUCUUCGGAUGACCUGUGGGUAGGGGUGAAAGGCCAAUCAAACUCGGAAAUAGCUCGUACUCCCCGAAAUGCAUUUAGGUGCAGCGUAUUAAUAGUUUUAUAGAGGUAGAGCUACUGAUUGGAUGCGGGGGCUUCACCGCCUACCAAUUCCUGACAAACUCCGAAUGCUAUAAAAUGUUUUAAUGCAGUGAGGGCAUGGGUGCUAAGGUCCAUGUCCGAGAGGGAAAGAACCCGGACCAUCAGCUAAGGUCCCCAAAUAUAUACUAAGUUGAAUAAACGAGGUUUGACUGCCUAGACAGCUAGGAUGUUGGCUUGGAAGCAGCCAUUCAUUUAAAGAGUGCGUAACAGCUCACUAGUCGAGCGGUCGAGCAUGGAUAAUAAUCGGGCAUAAGUAUAUUACCGAAGCUAUGGACUCCAAUGGAGUGGUAGGGGAGCAUUCUAUCUGCGCAGAAUGUGGUCUGCGAGGAUUGCUGGAGCGGAUAGAAAAGAAAAUGUAGGCAUAAGUAACGAUAAUGCGGGCGAGAAACCCGCACACCGAAAGACUAAGGUUUCCUCAGCUAUGCUAAUCAGCUGAGGGUUAGUCGGGGCCUAACGCGAACCCGAAAGGGGUAGUGGAUGGACAACAGAUUAAUAUUUCUGUACCUGCUCACAUUAAAAGUGACGGAGGCGAAAAGUUAGUGCGCACUGACGGAAUAGUGCGUUGAAGGGAGUGGUAACACCCCGAUAGUACAGUAAGGCUACGGCCGCGCUGAUAAUCUAGCAAAUCGACUUCCAAGAAAACCAAGUGAAGCAGCCCGUACCGUAAACCGACACAGGUAGUUGGGAUGAGAAUUCUAAGGUGCUCGAGAGAUUCAUGGCUAAGGAACUAGGCAAAAUAGACCUGUAACUUCGGGAGAAAGGUCGCCACGCUUCGGCGUGGCCGCAGUGAAAAGGUCCAGGCGACUGUUUAUCAAAAACAUAGGGCUUUGCUAAAUCGAAAGAUGAUGUAUAAGGCCUGACACCUGCCCGGUGCUGGAAGGUUAAGAGGAGGGUUUAGCUUCGGCGAAGAUCUGAAUUGAAGCCCCAGUAAACGGCGGCCGUAACAAUAAC
This 1385-nucleotide ribosomal RNA is filed under the name Ostreococcus mediterraneus. RNAcentral's name for it is "partial Bacterial large subunit ribosomal RNA". It matches the Rfam family "Bacterial large subunit ribosomal RNA", at positions 498 to 1946 of the family's 2925-position model. The record is from RNAcentral. Lineage: Eukaryota; Viridiplantae; Chlorophyta; Mamiellophyceae; Mamiellales; Bathycoccaceae.